RNAcentral lists this transfer RNA (73 nucleotides) under Pteropus alecto (black flying fox). It matches the Rfam family "tRNA". Rfam says of the family: Transfer RNA (tRNA) molecules are approximately 80 nucleotides in length. Their secondary structure includes four short double-helical elements and three loops (D, anti-codon, and T loops). Further hydrogen bonds mediate the characteristic L-shaped molecular structure. tRNAs have two regions of fundamental functional importance: the anti-codon, which is responsible for specific mRNA codon recognition, and the 3' end, to which the tRNAs corresponding amino acid is attached (by aminoacyl-tRNA synthetases). tRNAs cope with the degeneracy of the genetic code in two manners: having more than one tRNA (with a specific anti-codon) for a particular amino acid; and 'wobble' base-pairing, i.e. permitting non-standard base-pairing at the 3rd anti-codon position. Lineage: Eukaryota; Metazoa; Chordata; Mammalia; Chiroptera; Pteropodidae. The record is from Rfam by way of RNAcentral.
GGUUCCAUAGUGUAGCAGUUAGCACGUCUGCUUUACAUGCAGAAGUUCCUAGGUUCAUGCCCCAGUAGAUCCA